AUGAAGAAGCUUUUUGAAAUACAUCUGCUGGACGAUAAAACGUUCGAGGAUGAAGUCAGACAUCUUAUAGCGAUCAGGCACCAAAAUCUAGUACAACUUAUUGGUUACUGUGCUGAAUCAAGUUGGGAAUUGGUAGAGCAGAGUGGAAAGCAUGUUUUUGCUGAAAUACUGAAAAGGUUGCUCUGCUUUGAGUAUGUAUGCAACAAAAGCCUUGACAAGUAUAUUUCCGAUGAAUCUCUGGACCUUGAGUGGAAUAUGAGAUACGAGAUAAUCAAGGCAAUUUGCAGUGGUUUGUGUUUCCUUCAGGAAGAAUACCGUAUCCUUCAUCUGGACCUUAAGCCAGAAAAUAUAUUGAUGGACUUUAUGAUGAUGCCGAAAAUCGCGGAUUUUGGUUUGUCGAGUCUCUUUGGUGUGCAGCAAAUGCGAAUCUUCACUGAUAAUCCUGCAGGAAACAUGAAUAUAUGGCACCAGAAUACUUACUUCAAAGUGUAA
This 492-nucleotide ribosomal RNA is filed under the name Triticum aestivum (bread wheat). RNAcentral's name for it is "partial small subunit ribosomal RNA". Lineage: Eukaryota; Viridiplantae; Streptophyta; Magnoliopsida; Poales; Poaceae. The record is from RNAcentral.